AGAGUUUGAUCCUGGCUUAGGAUGAACGCUAGCUACAGGCUUAACACAUGCAAGUCGAGGGGUAGCAGGGUAGCAAUACCGCUGACGACCGGCGCACGGGUGAGUAACACGUAUCCAACCUUCCCAUAACUCAGGGAUAGCCUUUCGAAAGAAAGAUUAAUACCUGAUAGUACUUUUUCAAGGCAUCUUGAGAAAGUUAAAGAUUUAUUGGUUAUGGAUGGGGAUGCGUUCCAUUAGAUAGUUGGUGAGGUAACGGCUCACCAAGUCUUCGAUGGAUAGGGGUUCUGAGAGGAAGGUCCCCCACAUUGGUACUGAGACACGGACCAAACUCCUACGGGAGGCAGCAGUGAGGAAUAUUGGUCAAUGGGCGAGAGCCUGAACCAGCCAAGUAGCGUGAAGGAUGAAGGUCCUAUGGAUUGUAAACUUCCUUUAUAGUAGAAUAAAGUGAUCCACGUGUGGAUUUUUGUAUGUAUACUAUGAAUAAGGAUCGGCUAACUCCGUGCCAGCCGCAGC
Molecule: ribosomal RNA, 513 nt
Filed under: uncultured bacterium
Lineage: Bacteria
Description: bacterial SSU rRNA
Rfam family: Bacterial small subunit ribosomal RNA
Source: RNAcentral